UAGCAUAGUAAUUUGUUGUUUAAUUGAUAACUGGGAUGAAAGGUUGAACAGUUAUUUAUUGUCUUGUUUAUGUAGAAAAUUAAGUUGUAUUUUAAGUAAAAAUACUUAAGUAUAAAUAAGGGACGAUAAGACCCUAAAAGUUUUAUUUAAGUAGUUAGGUGGUUUUGUUUGGUUAAUUUAUUGGUUUAACUGGGGUAGUUUCUUUAAAAUAGAUUAAAGGUUUAAUGAAGCAGAUCUUUAUUUGGUUUAGGUCCUUAAAAUUAGGAUAAGUAGAGUUAGUUACUUUAGGGAUAACAGCAUAAUAUUUUUGGAUAGAUCUUAUAAAUAAGAGUGAUUAUGACCUCGAUGUUGAAUUAAAAGUUCUAUUUAAUGCAGGAGUUAAAUGAGAAGGUUUGUUCAACCUGUGAUUUUUUACGUGAUUU
Molecule: ribosomal RNA, 422 nt
Filed under: Conicostomatidae sp. BOLD:ADF7632
Lineage: Eukaryota; Metazoa; Arthropoda; Malacostraca; Amphipoda; Conicostomatidae
Description: partial 16S ribosomal RNA
Source: RNAcentral